Molecule: long non-coding RNA, 345 nt
Filed under: Sorghum bicolor (sorghum)
Lineage: Eukaryota; Viridiplantae; Streptophyta; Magnoliopsida; Poales; Poaceae
Description: long non-coding RNA (SBIC_LNC006590)
Source: RNAcentral
CUAACCUACCCCUGUCUAUAGGCUUUCUUAGAAUUUUUGUGGUUUGGAGGAGCAACAUAAAGUAUUGCCCUAUGUUGUAAAAAUUUAAAGUAAUAUCGUUACGAAGUGUUAGUGGGAAUCGUAAGUUUGUGCAUGCAUCAUGACGUAUUAACUGGUUAAGUUCCUUCCUCCUUGUUUGGGUUGGGUGAAUAGAAUCAAUCCUAUUCUUGCUAACCUUUAAGGUCUCUCUUACUAAUCUAAACUUACCCUCUACAGGAUGGCUCGUCAGAAGCAGACCCCGCGUAAGCGGACCGGUCCAAAAGGAGUUCCCCGACAUCAGCUAGCUCCACGCAGUGAUCAAGCCAG